CCUACGGGCGGCAGCAGUGGGGAAUAUUGCACAAUGGGGGAAACCCUGAUGCAGCAACGCCGCGUGAAGGAAGACGGUUUUCGGAUUGUAAACUUCUGUUCUUAGUGAAGAAGAAUGACGGGAGCGAAGGAGCAAGCCACGGCUAACUACGUGCCAGCAGCCGCGGUAUACGUAGGUGGCAAGCGUUGUCCGGAAUUACUGGGUGUAAAGGGAGCGCAGGCGGGAAGCCAAGUCAGCUGUGAAAACUACGGGCUUAACUUGUAGACUGCAGUUGAAACGGGUUUUCUUGAGUGAAGUAGAGGUUGGCGUCAUUCCGAGUGUAGCGGUGCCAUGCGUCGCUCUUCGGCGGAACACCGGUGGCGAAGGCGGCCCACUGGGCUUUAACUGACGCUGAGGCUCGAACGUGUGGGGAGCAAACAGGCUUAGAUCCCCCUGUAGUC
Molecule: ribosomal RNA, 440 nt
Filed under: uncultured bacterium
Lineage: Bacteria
Description: partial 16S ribosomal RNA
Rfam family: Bacterial small subunit ribosomal RNA
Source: RNAcentral